Long non-coding RNA from Marmota flaviventris (yellow-bellied marmot), 822 nucleotides. RefSeq lists it as uncharacterized. Lineage: Eukaryota; Metazoa; Chordata; Mammalia; Rodentia; Sciuridae. The record is from RefSeq and is a predicted model, not a curated record.
UUCAAUAUCGGGAGUGAGAAUUGCCCAAGGCUUGCGCUGGGGCAGUGACAGUGUGGGGCAGGGGAGGAGAGAUUCCAGAACUAUUUGGAAGAAGAGUUAGUGGGACUUAGUGAGUGGCUAGAUGUUGACAGGUACAGACAGGGCAGAAUUGAGAAAGGAUGGCUCCGCGUUUCUGACUGGAUCAGCUUGGUGGGUGAUGACGCUGCCAACCAAGGCUCAACUGUGUCCUUCUUUGGCUGAUUUUUCAUAAGAGGGGACCACCAUGGAUACCCAAAGAGGAGGGCUGGUCCCCCACCACCCCGCCCCCAUCAAGGGUUACAGCAAGAACAAGGCACCUGUGCAGGAACCAGGGACUGGGAAUUGAAGCAGGUCUUCGUCUCCAAGCAGGAGGACCCUGGUACCUGUGUAGUGGCCACCUCACUUGUGACCUCACCCCUGUGCUGCCCCUUGGCCUCCCUUCCAACAACCAGGAAGCUACUUACACGUUAAGACUCGAAUGAAAUACCUCAUUGUUAAGGAUGAAAAAGCAAUUGUAAAGCUUCCCUGCACAUCCCACAACAGUCUUGCUGAGGGGAGAACGAUCUAUUACCUCUACUCCACGGCUGGAAAACUAAACCAUGAGGUCAGCGCCAAGGACAGUGAGUGGACAGCUGGAACUCCAAGCCAGGCCUAGGAUGUCACAGCCCUGCCCUGAACUACUUACUGUGCUGUAUGUGCUGUUCUACCCGCCCCCACCCCCCCAAAUGUUCUAGGAAUGUCUGUUGAAUGGCACACCUUUUUAUUCUCUCCAGGGGGAGAGACCUUAUCAAUGGCCCUCACUGA